This 520-nucleotide ribosomal RNA is filed under the name uncultured Glomus. RNAcentral's name for it is "SSU rRNA". It matches the Rfam family "Eukaryotic small subunit ribosomal RNA", at positions 569 to 1092 of the family's 1831-position model. Lineage: Eukaryota; Fungi; Glomeromycota; Glomeromycetes; Glomerales; Glomeraceae. The record is from RNAcentral.
AGCAGCCGCGGUAAUUCCAGCUCCAAUAGCGUAUAUUAAAGUUGCUGCAGUUAAAAAGCUCGUAGCUGAAUUUCGGGACUAAUAUGUCGGUCGUGCCUCGGUACGUACUGGUUUAUUGGUUUCUCCUUUCUGAAGAACCAUGAUGUCAUUUAUUUGGUGUCGUGGGGAAUCAGGACUGUUACUUUGAAAAAAUUAGAGUGUUUAAAGCAAGCUAACGCUUGAAUACAUUAGCAUGGAAUAAUGAAAUAGGACGUUCGAUCCUAUUUUGUUGGUUUCUAGGAUUGACGUAAUGAUUAAUAGGGAUAGUUGGGGGCAUUAGUAUUCAAUUGUCAGAGGUGAAGUUCUUGGAUUUAUUGAAGACUAACUACUGCGAAAGCAUUUGCCAAGGAUGUUUUCAUUAAUCAAGAACGAAAGUUAGGGGAUCGAAGACGAUCAGAUACCGUCGUAGUCUUAACCAUAAACUAUGCCGACUAGGGAUCGGAUGAUGUUAAUUUUUUAAUGACUCAUUCGGCGCCUUACG